GAUGGAAGAACGCAGCGAAAUGCGAUAAGUAGUGUGAAUUGCAGAAUUCAGUGAAUCAUCGAAUCUUUGAACGCACAUUGCGCCCCUCGGUAUUCCGUGGGGCAUGCCUGUUCGAGCGUCAUUUACCCCUCAAGCACUGCUUGGUGUUGGGCGUCUGUCCCGCUUCGCGCGCGGACUCGCCCCAAAGGUAUUGGCAGCGGUCGUGCCAGCUUCUCGCGCAGCACAUUGCGCUUCUCGAGGCGGUCGAUCGGCGUCCACGAAGCUCACCUCCACCGUUUGACCUCGGAUCAGGUAGGGAUACCCGCUGAACUUAAGCAUAUCAAUAAGCGGAGGA
This 334-nucleotide unclassified non-coding RNA is filed under the name soil metagenome. Its description in RNAcentral is "partial contains 5.8S ribosomal RNA, internal transcribed spacer 2, and large subunit ribosomal RNA". The stretch from base 5 to 121 matches the Rfam family "5.8S ribosomal RNA", at positions 38 to 154 of the family's 154-position model. The record is from RNAcentral.